Long non-coding RNA from Chenopodium quinoa (quinoa), 1123 nucleotides. RefSeq lists it as uncharacterized. Lineage: Eukaryota; Viridiplantae; Streptophyta; Magnoliopsida; Caryophyllales; Amaranthaceae. The record is from RefSeq and is a predicted model, not a curated record. The transcript is spliced from 4 exons.
UUUACCCGAGCCAAAAUAAAAGUUAUUUUAUUUUAACUUCCCUCCUCUUAGCUUUUUCCCCAAAUAUGCACACGGUUUAAUUUGUUCUUCAUUCUCAUACCUAAGCUAAGGAAGGUAGACAGAAAAUAGUUCUUUAAUUUCUCCCUAAUUUUCCCAAAUUCAAAGUGAAAGAAAGGGUCGCGAGGCUGAAUGUUCACAAAAUCUUCCCAUAUUCAUAAAAUCUCCAUGUUUCACUAAAAGAGAGGAAGUAGACGAAGGUGGUUAAGGCGGUGACGGAGGCUGACUGUUGGAGCAGCGGAACUUCAGGUGGUGGAAGGUUGCUGGAGCGCUGUAACUGCGAAUAUUGAUCUUGCAUUUCGCUGAUUGCUCGAAACUCUGUUUAAGGUGUGGGCAUUGGCCUUGGGAUCCCUGGAAAUGAGAAGGUGACAUGUGUACUUUCUCUGAAAUGUCAAUUGCAGGCUUUAGGUUUCGCUGAGUGUUCAAAAGGGGUUUGACAUCUGCAUUGUUUUAGUUGUUGAUGUUACUUUUGACCUUUCCUAAACAGGGUUACCAUCAUUUGCAUACCAGACUAUUGUGUCGGGAAUCUUUGCAUACCAAAUGGCAAGAAGGAAGAGACUGCUGUUGUUGGGUAAUUGAUGAAAGCCGAAUGCAAAACCACCCGAAGGUGAAAGCCAUGGAGAGUCAUUGAUGGUGGCUGAGAGAGAUUCGUCAAUGGUUAUAGUACUUCUCUGUGCAGCCAUGGGUACUAUUGAUAAGGAUUGUUUCUCUGUUAAAAGCACACUCUUUCAUCUCUUGGCUGGCUGUUCAAGGAAGGCUUAGAACAAGAGAUAGGCUUGUUUCUCUGGAAUGCUGUGACGAUGCAAGUUGUCUGCUUUGUGGUGCAUGGCGAGCUAGAUGGAGAUGAAUGAAGUACAAUGAUUAUAUAUUGUCAUCCAAUAAAUGGAGCGUACACGUCGGUGACUAAUUUUUUUUAGUUCGAGCUUGUGAAGAUUAGGAUUUGUAUUUUGGACGAUUUUUAAUUAGUAAACUUUUAUUAUUUAUUAUUAGUUAGUAUUGGUAGUGUAACAUAUAUAUGGAAACAAUAUUUUGUAAUGUAACGUACAUAUUAUAUACACUUCGUUUA